Molecule: ribosomal RNA, 434 nt
Filed under: uncultured Rummeliibacillus sp.
Lineage: Bacteria; Bacillati; Bacillota; Bacilli; Caryophanales; Caryophanaceae
Description: bacterial SSU rRNA
Rfam family: Bacterial small subunit ribosomal RNA
Source: RNAcentral
AGCGCGAAGAACCUUACCUAGACUUGACAUCCCGGUGACCGCUCUGGAAACAGAGUUUUCCCUUUGGGGACACUGGUGACAGGUGGUGCAUGGUUGUCGUCAGCUCGUGUCGUGAGAUGUUCGGUUAAGUCCGAUAACGAGCGCUACCCUUCUCCUUAGUUGCUAACAUUUAGUUGAGAACCCUAAGGAUACUGCCGGUGACAAACCGGAGGAAGGUGGGGAUGACGUCAAAUCAUCAUGCCCCUUACGUCUAGGGCUACAGGCGUGCUAUAAUGGCCGGUAUAAUGAGUCGCAAUACCGUGAGGUGGAGCUAAUCUCCAAAGCCGGUCCCAGUUCGGAUUGAAGUCUGCAACUCGACUUCAUGAAGCUAGAAUCGCUAGUAAUCCCGGAUCAGAAUGCCGGGGUGAAUACGUUCCCGGGUCUUGUACACACGC